Molecule: non-coding RNA, 73 nt
Organism: Stegodyphus mimosarum
Lineage: Eukaryota; Metazoa; Arthropoda; Arachnida; Araneae; Eresidae
Source: Rfam
GUGUUCGUGGUGUAGUGGUCAGCACGAUCGACGCGUAACCGAGAGGUCCAUGGUUCGAUUCCCGGUGAACGCG